AGCUUUGCGCAGUGGCAGUAUCCUAGCCAAUGAGGUUUAUCCGAGGCGUGAUUAUUGCUAAUUGAAAAAAGAAUCACAGAUACUAGCUAUGAGAAAAGGUCUCAGGUCUCUAUCAUUAACUUGUUGACUUGCAGUCUUCAAG
This is a small nuclear RNA of Marmota flaviventris (yellow-bellied marmot), 142 nucleotides long. RefSeq annotates it as U4 spliceosomal RNA. NCBI's taxonomy places the organism in Eukaryota, Metazoa, Chordata, Mammalia, Rodentia, Sciuridae. The record is from RefSeq and is a predicted model, not a curated record.